RNAcentral lists this non-coding RNA (200 nucleotides) under Oxobacter pfennigii. RNAcentral's name for it is "T-box sequence". It matches the Rfam family "T-box leader". From Rfam's summary of the family: Uncharged tRNA acts as the effector for transcription antitermination of genes in the T-box leader family. T-boxes are found upstream of many aminoacyl-tRNA synthetase genes and some amino acid biosynthetic genes usually in Gram-positive bacteria. Lineage: Bacteria; Bacillati; Bacillota; Clostridia; Eubacteriales; Clostridiaceae. The record is from RNAcentral.
UAUUAUCCGUUUAAGGGAAAGAGUAGAUAUUUAUUCCAUCUAAGAGAGCCGGAAAUGGUGCAAACCGGUAUAGAAUACAUAUUGAAGGAAGCUCCCAUAGGAUACUUAAAAAGCGGAUGCUCUGCCGUUAAAAGGAGCUUUAAGUGGGCUAGUUUGGCCAAUUUAGGUGGUACCGCGGAAGAUAACCUUUCGUCCUAUGC